This 497-nucleotide ribosomal RNA is filed under the name uncultured bacterium. RNAcentral's name for it is "partial 16S ribosomal RNA". It matches the Rfam family "Bacterial small subunit ribosomal RNA", at positions 28 to 507 of the family's 1533-position model. The record is from RNAcentral.
GACGAACGCUGGCGGCGUGCCUAAUACAUGCAAGUAGAACGCUGAAGAGAGGAGCUUGCUCUUCUUGGAUGAGUUGCGAACGGGUGAGUAACGCGUAGGUAACCUGCCUUGUAGCGGGGGAUAACUAUUGGAAACGAUAUCUAAUACCGCAUAACAAUGGAUGACACAUGUCAUUUAUUUGAAAGGGGCAAUUGCUCCACUACAAGAUGGACCUGCGGUGUAUUAGCUAGUAGGUGAGGUAAUGGCUCACCUAGGCGACGAUACAUAGCCGACCUGAGAGGGUGAACGGCCACACUGGGAAUGAGACACGGCCCAGACUCCUACGGGAGGCAGCAGUAGGGAAUCUUCGGCAAUGGGGGCAACCCUGAACGAGCAACGCCGCGUGAGUGAAGAAGGUUUUCGGAUCGUAAAGCUCUGUUGUAAGUCAAGAACGGGUGUGAGAGUGGAAAGUUCACACUGUGACGGUAGCUUACCAGAAAGGGACGGCUAACUACGUG